This 496-nucleotide ribosomal RNA is filed under the name uncultured bacterium. RNAcentral's name for it is "partial 16S ribosomal RNA". It matches the Rfam family "Bacterial small subunit ribosomal RNA", at positions 28 to 506 of the family's 1533-position model. The record is from RNAcentral.
GACGAACGCUGGCGGCGUGCCUAAUACAUGCCAGUUGAGCGCUGAAGGUUGGUACUUGUACCAACUGGAUGAGCAGCGAACGGGUGAGUAACGCGUGGGGAAUCUGCCUUUGAGCGGGGGACAACAUUUGGAAACGAAUGCUAAUACCGCAUAAAAACUUUAAACACAAGUUUUAAGUUUGAAAGAUGCAAUUACAUCACUCAAAGAUGAUCCCGCGUUGUAUUAGCUAGUUGGUGAGGUAAAGGCUCACCAAGGCGAUGAUACAUAGCCGACCUGAGAGGGUGAUCGGCCACAUUGGGACUGAGACACGGCCCAAACUCCUACGGGAGGCAGCAGUAGGGAAUCUUCGGCAAUGGACGAAAGUCUGACCGAGCAACGCCGCGUGAGUGAAGAAGGUUUUCGGAUCGUAAAACUCUGUUGGUAGAGAAGAACGUUGGUGAGAGUGGAAAGCUCAUCAAGUGACGGUAACUACCCAGAAAGGGACGGCUAACUACGU